UCACCCUUCACAUUACCCUCUCUCUCUCUCUCUCUCUCUCUCUCUCCUUCCGAAUGUGUUGAUUUGGUUUAAAACAAUAGAACUUCAAAAAUCACGAUUUGGUUCCUCGACAUUCAAAUCGUCACCAGAUCGAUAUCAAAUUGAUUUAGUCUUCAAGGGAGGAAAUAGAAUAUCGACAAUGGUGGAGGCGAUGAGGGUGGGGGGAAUGGAUUUAAGUUUCGAAAUCGGGUUUAAAGGUAGGGGAACAUAUGCCAUUCUUGAAGCUGAUGAAUAUCAAUCCAUCAAAGAUUAACAAUUUCGUUAGAUCCUCAAGAAAAAUCACAAAACUGUUGUGAGCGGCAACCCUGCUGCCCAUAACAUUAACGCACCACCGUUGGACGGUUUUUUUUACAAUCUGGAAAUAUGGAGGUCACUAAGAUAUCGGUCAGCUGAAGAGCACAAGUUAUUAAUGAAGAUUGGUACGGAUCCUAAUAUAUCAAUAGUUUUGUUGACGGUGCUGUAAAAACAUGAGGGGAUAUGUUGUCUUUUUUGUUAAUCCUUCUAACAAUAAGGGCCAAUCAUCCAAAGAGCUACAUAUCAAGUAUUGAUGACUAGGAGCAGAAUCCACAUGGGUGUUGGGUUGAUUCCUCUAAAUGCAUCAUAUUCAUAUGGAUCACUAACUAACCACCAUGUAUGUAUAUAUUUCUAAUUUCUUUUCUUGGAAAGUUCUUGUGUUAAUUUACUAAUUUUUCCAUUAUCACAGCCAGUGGGAUUAUUAAUAAAAACUUAAGAAUGACUUGAAGAAGGAAUCACUGAUUGACCAUACAAGAGAAAGACUUGGAAUUGAGUUCAAUAACAAGUUACAUUGAAGAAGAUUAAGUGUAAACAAGUCGAUUAUUUGGACCAUUGAAGAAGAUUAAGUGUAUUUGUUCAAUAAUUGUAUAUUUGAGAAUGCUAAUCUUAAGAACUUUAUUCAUUUUGAUGAUACUUUGUUAGAAUAUUUACAAUUAUAUUAAAAUGUAUCAGUCUGUAAGAAUAUUUAUAAAUUUGUAUUUAAGUUUGGACGUGUACGAAUAUAUUAGAAUGUUGUUAUUAUUAAA
Non-coding RNA from Lactuca sativa (garden lettuce), 1079 nucleotides. Lineage: Eukaryota; Viridiplantae; Streptophyta; Magnoliopsida; Asterales; Asteraceae. The record is from RefSeq and is a predicted model, not a curated record.